UUUUAAAAAUUAACAGGUGUUUCUUUAUUUCUGCUAAAACCUUCCAUUCAAGACUUUCUCACGUACAGUACAUAUUAAAUUGUUCUCUUCUUAAAAAAUCGUAAUGCACAAUGUUUGUAAUCUAUAGAUGAUAUUGACACUUUGGUUAGCCAUCAAACAUCGUGAUUAACAAGAGAAAAAAUUGCAAGUCAAACUAUACAGCAAAUAAUGAACACUACUGUUGUUACCGGUCGUUGACUUUAGCACCAAACUGCUGGUAGACAACUGAACCGUUGUAGGCGUAAUAUAUCUUAACUAAUACAUUUCAAAUAACAAGAAUAACUUCCUUGUAAACAGUACUAAAUAGAACGUUAUUUACAAUAUAGAACAAUAAACUUGAGAUCGAAUAAGUGCUAAGAAACAAAAUUUAGACUCAAUGCGCUACGAUAACAAAACAAACGUUAACGCCAGAGUUGAAAGGUUAAACAAAAUAAAAAAAAAGUUUUGAGCAGAUAGGUCUUGAUGCUUUUCUUGAAUGUACAGUGAAAUCAAGUAAUUAAUAUUAAACUCACGUACAUUACAAAAAACACAAGUUAUUCCUACAAGUCAAAGUUUUAUUAUUUAUGUACAUAGACAAACGUGGGUUGGAUGUUGUGUCACCUUAUUUCAAUUAUUGUUGUUUGUUAUUUGUCCUCCAACUCUUCCCAAUCAAUCUUCUCCACCUUUUUAAAAUACAGUUAUUGAAAAAAAAAGUUUCUUUAGCUUCUAGAGAUUUUAAAAAAAGUUACUUCUCAUUAGCACGUGAGUUGUUGUUUUUUUCUCUAACAUCUUAUUUUGAUUUUCUUCUUUUCUACCAAUUUUUGUUCCUACCAAACACCAUUUGUGUUCCUUCCAAAGUCCAAACACCUUUUUUGUCUCUUCCAAAGUCCAAACACCUUUUUUGUCUCUUCCAAAGUCCAAACACCAUUUU
Molecule: non-coding RNA, 949 nt
Organism: Biomphalaria pfeifferi
Lineage: Eukaryota; Metazoa; Mollusca; Gastropoda; Planorbidae
Source: the annotation of a GenBank genome assembly